This 424-nucleotide ribosomal RNA is filed under the name uncultured prokaryote. Its description in RNAcentral is "bacterial SSU rRNA". It matches the Rfam family "Bacterial small subunit ribosomal RNA", at positions 355 to 796 of the family's 1533-position model. The record is from RNAcentral.
UGAGGAAUAUUGCGCAAUGGGGGAAACCCUGACGCAGCCAUGCCGCGUGAGUGAAGAAGGCCCUAGGGUUGUAAAGCUCUUUCAGAUGUGAAGAUGAUGACGGUAACAUCAGAAGAAGCUCCGGCUAACUUCGUGCCAGCAGCCGCGGUAAUACGAAGGGAGCGAGCGUUGUUCGGAAUCACUGGGCGUAAAGAGUACGUAGGCUGAUAAGAAAGUCAGAUGUGAAAGCCCAGGGCUCAACCCUGGAACUGCAUUUGAAACUUCUUGUCUAGAAUUUGGUAGAGGACAACGGAAUUCCGAGUGUAGAGGUGAAAUUCGCAGAUAUUCGGAGGAACACCAGUUGCGAAGGCGGUUGUCUGGGCCAAUAUUGACGCUGAGGUACGAAAGCGUGGGGAGCAAACAGGAUUAGAUACCCCCGUAGUCC